This 73-nucleotide transfer RNA is filed under the name Phycisphaera sp. TMED151. RNAcentral describes it as "tRNA-Ala". It matches the Rfam family "tRNA". From Rfam's summary of the family: Transfer RNA (tRNA) molecules are approximately 80 nucleotides in length. Their secondary structure includes four short double-helical elements and three loops (D, anti-codon, and T loops). Lineage: Bacteria; Pseudomonadati; Planctomycetota; Phycisphaerae; Phycisphaerales; Phycisphaeraceae. The record is from RNAcentral. RNAcentral also lists the same sequence under 5 other names.
GGGGCUAUAGCUCAGUUGGGAGAGCGCUUGCAUGGCAUGCAAGAGGUCGUCGGUUCGAGCCCGAUUAGCUCCA